CUUCUGUAAAUAUCAACAUCAGUCUUUGUGAGAGAGGAAGAGUUGACAGGAUACAGAUCACACCUUCACACUAGGCUACCAGCAGAAACUUCCAGUUUACCCCCUUUGUCACCUGUGCUCCAAAGAAACGGAAGCUCAGGCUGAGAGAGUAAGAAACCUUCCCAAUGAUUCACAUCAUGUGUGUGUUGAGGCCAGGAGUCUUCAGAGUCUGUGUGCUUAGCUUUGCUAUGCUGCUCUUAGAAGGAAAGGAUGCUCAACGAAAGUCAAUCAGAGAUAAGUUCUAGGUACCAAUGAAUUAAUUACAUCGAAGAUCACUACACUGGACUACAGAUAACCUAGAGCCUUCUCAAAGGAG
Molecule: long non-coding RNA, 355 nt
Organism: Mesoplodon densirostris (Blainville's beaked whale)
Lineage: Eukaryota; Metazoa; Chordata; Mammalia; Artiodactyla; Ziphiidae
Exons: 3
Source: RefSeq, a predicted model, not a curated record